Molecule: long non-coding RNA, 2517 nt
Organism: Pseudophryne corroboree (corroboree frog)
Lineage: Eukaryota; Metazoa; Chordata; Amphibia; Anura; Myobatrachidae
Exons: 4
Source: RefSeq, a predicted model, not a curated record
GCAACCAGGAAGAAAUUGCUGGAGAUUGCCAGAGCAUUUUCAGAGAAAACAAAGAUGAGGAAAUCCAAGAGAAAGCAUUUGCUCAAACACCAAGUUUUUGGAACAGCCGCCUCCACAGCCAAUCUUCUGGAUGAUGUUGAAGGACAUUCAUGUGAUGAAGAUAUCCAAGCAAGGAUAAAACGGCAGAACCAUGAGGGGGUAGAAGCACAGAAAGAAGGACAGUCAAAAUCCUAAAUCCUGCCAGAAUCCCUGAAUGGACCUGGUUGGCUGAUGAAAGAAGACUCUAUGGCACAAUUUUUUUAAUCACAUAUUUUGCUAUGUGAUGGCAGCAGCCAAAUCUCAGAGAAUGUUUAGUACUCAAACUGCUUUAAAAUAAUUGUGUUUUAAAAUGGUACAAUUUUUUUUUUUUUUUGUGAUUUCCUUUUCUGGAUGAACAUAACCGCCCACUGAAAUGUCUGUUUUACCAGCACAAAUUGUAUACGUUCAUUUAUAAUACUGAUGUGCUACAAAGGUUUUUUGGUUUUAUUUUUAUGUUUGAGUGCAAUAAAACUGCCCUAAAUAAGCCAUUACAGGUAAUCUACGGAUCACAUGCACAAUUUAUUAGCCAAUUGGCUUUGUGCCCUUUUAAUACAUUGACUCAGGCUUGGUGAACAGUGGAUAUUACACUGAAUAGUGGGCUUCUGUCAGUACCAUGUGAAUUGAAUACCCAAUCAAGCAGAGCCAAGUGCAUUGAUUUUCUGCAAGCUAAUAAAUGUAUGACAUAAGUGUACUAAAAGUAUUCUUCUACAUCUGAUUUACCUUUUAACUAGCAAAAUAUAGCCAGCAGAAUCCAAUAGUAUUGCAGUCCACCAGUUGAUGGUUUUAGAAACAAAUUUGUUUUUAUUUUUGAAAGCCAAAUAACUUUGAAUGGGACAAUAUAGGCUACGAUAACCAUUUACCUUAAUUUUUAAAAUAAUAGUUUAAAGUCGUAUGUUAAAUAGUAAUGCAGAAGUAAGUCCCUGAGGGUCUUUAGAGCAUAGCAUAUUCUUAGUAAUAUUUAAUGAUGAAAAGUAAACUAUUUUUGCAUACUUAAGUUAUGCUUUUGAAAAUAUUUUUAGAUUGCAUAUAUUACCAGUUAGUACAUUUACAGCAGAAUGAACCUUUUCUAGUUUGAUUUUCAAGACACUUUUGUUUCAAGGAUAACUCCUAAUUUUUUAUUUUUUAUCCCCUCAAUCUUCUCAGGAGCAAUGCCAGGCUCUCAGAAUACCUGGGGCCGACCUUGUACAACAGCUGUAGUCACACUUGUGCAUGGUAUAAUGUUAUAAUUGAGAAUUAUUUUCAAAAUGUAUACGUUUUUAGCUAUACUGGCAUAUACCAAUUUAUGUAUAUCACAUAAGUGGUUAUUAAUAAAAUUUAUUUUAAUUUUAAUGAAAUAUUUGCUUGAAACUCGGGGUUAGAUUCUCUGUAGCCACGCCCUUGCUACUUUUCCAUAGCAACUAGAUAGAUAGACUUUUUAAAAGAGACUUUUAUUCUAAAUUGGAAAAAUAAUGCGACAAUUGAUGGUCUUAUUACAACAUGACAGAGUUACAUUGGUGCCUCUGAUUAGGAAGAUGUAUUAACUGUGCUAAGAAUUAUAGUAAGGAACCUAAUGUUCAGAAAGUCUGAACACUUUUUAAAACAAAAAUGUAAGUUGAUCGAAUAACAAAAGGCACAUGAAUAAGCAUAACAGAACUUCAGAUACUUGUGAAUGUAUUUAUAUUUGCUGCGCAGCUGUCUGCAAGAUGCUGUUCCCUGUUAUCAGUCAUUUCAGAUAUGUCAUUGUCAGUAGAUUGACAAGCUCGGAGGAUUGCUGUGCAGAGGGAUGUUUUUCCUCUGUGUUAACAGCUUUAAUUGAAAUAUGUCCAGCGUGCAUAAGUUGGCAAAAGUAUUGCAUAAAUGUGUGUAUAAAUAUGGCUAGCUAUACACACACAUAUAUAUUCAGAGUUUAGUGAUUCUUACUGGAAGAUCACAUUUCCAAAGCUGGUGAAGAACAAAAAGUGUUCAUUGCAUUUCAGUGUAAUAUUGGGCGACUGUUGAUGUUUCUAAUAAACUAGCCAUUGUUUUCUAGUCUCUAUCACAGCUACAGGCAAAUAGAACUCAUUAUAUCUACUGCAGUUAAAUCUAAAAUUUCUCAGUAUUCUGCCUGCUGAAACCAAUGUUGUAGAUUGCCAUCUAGGACAUAAGCUGUGGUAAUAAAAAGGUUUUCAUUCACAAUCUAUCUCUUCACAAUAUAGAGUGUAUAUUUUUGUUAUAGGAAAUGCCAUAACACAUGAAUUAGUUAAUUAGUGCUGUCCAUACAGGUAAUUAAAGAGAAGGUGCCAUCAUCGUCGGUGUAUGGACGUCAUGCUGUGGUUGUAAUGUUGUGAUACUCAUACUUUUGAGAUAUGACUCAAACAGUUGCAAUUAAAUAUUGUGAUGAUAUACUGGGAUGCACCAAUGUCAUGUGUUAAUGUAAAAGAAAAAAAAAACUUUAAUAAAAUUCAAUAUUUAUAUUGCUGA